This 265-nucleotide ribosomal RNA is filed under the name uncultured bacterium. RNAcentral describes it as "partial 16S ribosomal RNA". It matches the Rfam family "Bacterial small subunit ribosomal RNA", at positions 793 to 1055 of the family's 1533-position model. The record is from RNAcentral.
GUCCACGCCCUAAACGAUGGGCACUAGGUGUGAGGACUGUUAAAGUCCUCGUGCCGAAGCUAACGCAUUAAGUGCCCCACCUGGGAAGUACGGCCGCAAGGUUGAAACUCAAAGGAAUUGACGGGGGCCCGCACAAGCGGUGGAGCAUGUGGUUUAAUUCGACGCAACGCGAAGAACCUUACCUGGGCUUGACAUCCGGAGAACCCCUUGGAAACAAGGGGGUGCCCGCAAGGGAGCUCCGAGACAGGUGCUGCAUGGCUGUCGU